This 502-nucleotide long non-coding RNA is filed under the name Ananas comosus (pineapple). RNAcentral describes it as "long non-coding RNA (ACOM_LNC001387)". Lineage: Eukaryota; Viridiplantae; Streptophyta; Magnoliopsida; Poales; Bromeliaceae. The record is from RNAcentral.
CGCUAAUAUACCUCCACGGCUCCACGCGAGAGUAACUUAGCUUACCACCCGUCAAUUCUUUUUUGCACUUUAUCAAUAACUCCCAACCAAUCUUCCUUUCUCAGAGUCUUACUUGAUAACGGCAGCCCUAAAUAUUUAGGAGGGAACUCCGCCACUUUAAAGGUUAGGAUAUGUGCUAGUUUGCUACCUUUAUUUUUACGCCUUUCCAAAUAGAAAAGCUCUGAUUUAUAUUUAUUAAUCCUAACUCCAGGGGCUCACUCAGUUUCGAAAUUUUUUUUUUUGAGAGAUAGGUAGCACGCUACCCGCUUCGUUUAUUUCAUUUAGAAAUAAAUUUAGCUGGAAAUGUGAAUCAACUAGAAUUCGAACUUGGGUCUCGGAUACCAAUCAUCAAACCCUUUGCCACUUGCUCUAGGGACGGUCGGUCUCAGUUUCGAAUUUUAAAGUACUGAAUGAGAGGGAUUAUAAGAUUUACAAGUAGUCUGGUGUGCCAUGUGGCAUUGCU